RNAcentral lists this ribosomal RNA (253 nucleotides) under uncultured bacterium. Its description in RNAcentral is "partial 16S ribosomal RNA". It matches the Rfam family "Bacterial small subunit ribosomal RNA", at positions 524 to 776 of the family's 1533-position model. The record is from RNAcentral.
UACAGAGGGUGCAAGCGUUAAUCGGAUUUACUGGGCGUAAAGCGUGCGUAGGCGGUUCGUUAAGUCGAUUGUGAAAGCCCUGGGCUUAACCUGGGAAUUGCAGUCGAUACUGGCGGACUAGAGAACGGUAGAGGGAGGCGGAACUCCAGGUGUAGCGGUGAAAUGCGUAGAUAUCCGGAAGAACACCGAUGGCGAAGGCAACCUCCUGGGCCUGUUCUGACGCUGAGGCACGAAAGCGUGGGUAGCAAACAGG